RNAcentral lists this ribosomal RNA (1305 nucleotides) under Immersiporthe knoxdaviesiana. RNAcentral's name for it is "eukaryotic LSU rRNA". It matches the Rfam family "Eukaryotic large subunit ribosomal RNA", at positions 78 to 1412 of the family's 3401-position model. The record is from RNAcentral. Lineage: Eukaryota; Fungi; Ascomycota; Sordariomycetes; Diaporthales; Cryphonectriaceae.
CCCUAGUAACGGCGAGUGAAGCGGCAACAGCUCAAAUUUGAAAUCUGGCUUCGGCCCGAGUUGUAAUUUGCAGAGGAUGUUUCUGGCGCGGUGCCUUCCGAGUUCCCUGGAACGGGACGCCACAGAGGGUGAGAGCCCCGUAUGGUUGGACACCAAGCCUGUGUGAAACUCCUUCGACGAGUCGAGUAGUUUGGGAAUGCUGCUCAAAAUGGGAGGUAAAUCUCUUCUAAAGCUAAAUACCGGCCAGAGACCGAUAGCGCACAAGUAGAGUGAUCGAAAGAUGAAAAGCACCUUGAAAAGGGGGUUAAACAGUACGUGAAAUUGUUGAAAGGGAAGCGCUUGUGACCAGACUUGCGCCGGGCGGUUCAUCCGGGGUUCUCCCCGGUGCACUCCGCCCGGUUCAGGCCAGCAUCGGUUCUCGUUGGGGGAUAAGAACGGCAGGAACGUGGCCCUCCUUCGGGUGGGUGUUAUAGCCUGCCGUACGAUACCCUGACGGGGACCGAGGUUCGCGCUCCGCAAGGAUGCUGGCGUAAUGGUCAUCAGCGACCCGUCUUGAAACACGGACCAAGGAGUCGUCCAUUAGAGCGAGCGUUUGGGUGUCAAACCCGCACGCGUAAUGAAAGUGAAAUUAGGUGAGAGCUUCGGCGCAUCAUCGACCGAUCCUGAUGUUCUCGGAUGGAUUUGAGUAAGAGUUUUAACGGACGGACCCGAAAGACAGUGAACUAUGCUUGUAUAGGGUGAAGCCAGAGGAAACUCUGGUGGAGGCUCGCAGCGGUUCUGACGUGCAAAUCGAUCGUCAAAUAUGAGCAUGGGGGCGAAAGACUAAUCGAACUGUCUAGUAGCUGGUUACCGCCGAAGUUUCCCUCAGGAUAGCAGUGUUGACCUUCAGUUUUAUGAGGUAAAGCGAAUGAUUAGGGACUCGGGGGCGCUUUUUAGCCUUCAUCCAUUCUCAAACUUUAAAUAUGUAAGAAGCCCUUGUUACUUUGUUGAACGUGGGCAUUCGAAUGUAUCAACACUAGUGGGCCAUUUUUGGUAAGCAGAACUGGCGAUGCGGGAUGAACCGAACGCGGGGUUAAGGCGCCAGAGUGUACGCUCAUCAGACACCACAAAAGGCGUUAGUACAUCUUGACAGCAGGACGGUGGCCAUGGAAGUCGGAAUCCGCUAAGGACUGUGUAACAACUCACCUGCCGAAUGUACUAGCCCUGAAAAUGGAUGGCGCUCAAGCGUACCGCCCAUACCCCGCCCUCAGGGUAGAAACGAUGCCCUGAGGAGUAGGCGGCCGUGGAGGUCAGUGACGAAGCCUA